Molecule: ribosomal RNA, 434 nt
Filed under: uncultured bacterium
Lineage: Bacteria
Description: partial 16S ribosomal RNA
Rfam family: Bacterial small subunit ribosomal RNA
Source: RNAcentral
AGCGAACGCUGGCGGCAGGCCUAACACAUGCAAGUCGAACGAACCUUUCGGGGUUAGUGGCGGACGGGUGAGUAACACGUGGGAACGUGCCUUUAAGUUCGGAAUAACUCAGGGAAACUUGUGCUAAUACCGAAUGUGCCCUUCGGGGGAAAGAUUUAUCGCCUUUAGAGCGGCCCGCGUCUGAUUAGCUAGUUGGUUGAGGUAAUGGCUCACCAAGGCGACGAUCAGUAGCUGGUCUGAGAGAAUGAUCAGCCACAUUGGGACUGAGACACGGCCCAAACUCCUACGUGAGGCAGCAGUGGGGAAUCUUGCGCAAUGGGCGAAAGCCUGACGCAGCCAUGCCGCGUGAAUGAUGAAGGUCUUAGGAUUGUAAAAUUCUUUCACCUGGGACGAUAAUGACGGUACCCGGAGAAGAAGCCCCGGCUAACUUCGUG